GUAUUACGUUUAAGCAGUAAAUUCCAGUUUUUUUCUUUUCUUUUCAGAUCUUAAUUUUCUUAAGAAUUGAAAUAUUACUUUGAUUUUUUAAAAAAAAUAAUCAAGGAAGAUUGAUGGCUACCACCCAUGUACCUGGGUUUCGCAGAGUAAACUCAAUGUAGAGUGGUGGCCCAUCAUCAAGUUCGACAAUAGCUUGCAGCUUUUCCGUACACUAUAGGCAAAGGUGUGGUGUGAUUUCCAGAUUGAAAGUUCACAUUUUUUUUUCCCUUCUCUUCCUCUUAUCUCUUUUUGGUGAGGGCAGUGGGCGUUGAGUUAUAUAUUCAACAGUAACUUUCCUCUUCUGAACUCUUCUUUGACAUUGAUGUGAACCAAAUAUGAUCUCAGAUCCAUCUCUUUCUUUUGGUGGAAUCAAAAGAUUCAUAAUUCUUAUUAGGAUCCUUUUUCAGCUUAGAAUGUAUUAAAUUCUGGAUAUCUGUCUAAGAUUGCAAGUUCUUGACAACGUUUCAAGAGCACUUGAACUUCGAGAUAUUGAAAUCGUCCAAAAUUAUUUUAAAAAUCUUAGAUUUAAUAUAUUUUUAACUCAAAUAUACUUCAAAAAAGCAGUUUCAUAUGUUCUACUGUGCAAAAUCAUCGAUAAAGAGUUGAACUCGACCACCUCUGGAAGAGUUGAUUUCUGUGCUCACCAUAGUUCAACACCAUUAUUAUACUGAGUAUGUAGGUGGAGGUAAAUUUGACCCCAAAAACAAAAAAAGAAAAAAGAAAAAAAAGAAAGCAGCUUCAAAAUGUGUGUGCGAGGGAGAGAAGAAGACGAGGGGGGGAUAGGGAAUCUAGGUUAGUUGAAAUGUCCGUGUAGUUGAAGCUUAUGUUUCCCUGUCUGAUGAUCAACUCGUCUCUAUAGGAAAAGCUGUAUCGUCUUCCUCCUCCUUUCCCAAUCCUAAUCAAGAUAAAAUCAGAGAAAGGUCAGAUUUCAGCAGAUGUUGUAUGGACAAAGACCCCCAUUUUCUUUCUUUUUUUAUUUUUAUAGGAAUUAAUCGAAGGCAAGUAGCCGGAAAGCUGUUUCAGAUAAGGACAGAAAGUGAAAGACUCCGUCAAUGGAAGUAUUAAGAAGAAGCUAAAUGCUGCGGCUGCUGCUGUAUCCAGCUUGUGGGAAAACAAAGCAUACCCGUUUUCAGAUAUCCAUCCCUCCACUUUAAUUUUGCAUUGAAGUUUCAUUCUUUGUCAUGAAGUUCCUUUCUUUGUAUAUCAUUUAUAGUGGGAAAAGAUUAGGAAAAGGUAUGGAGAGUUGUGGUGUAGGCAAUUCUGGUGAAAUCUAUAGGAAUUCUUCUUUAGGAAGCAGCAGUAAUAUUAGUAAUGGUGGUGAUGAUGCCGGUGGUGGUGGCGGCGGCAACAAUUCAAGACGUUAAGGAAUCAAUAUAGCAGCAUCAAAUUUGACACAUGCUCCAUUAACAACCCUUUUGGAAUACUCGGGUAUCCUAGGGGGAAACAACUCCAUUUUUUCUCAAGAAAGGGAGCAUUUGAUUCCUUCUCCAUCUACUGCUGCUGGUGGUGGUGGUCACCAAGAGGUUACAAUUAGGAUAAUCGGCUCUGCAGAGAAUGAUCGUGAUGAUGAAUCCAAUGCUUCUCCAAAUGUUUAGGAAUUACCAUAUGGUCAACGAGAUGGGGUUAUGGAAAGCAAUGUGAAUUCUGUAAGCACUGUUUCUGAUGGGUCUGAUGGGUCUGAUGGGUCUUCUGGGAUUGACAUAGAUUCAUCAUUACCGUCGUCGUCGUCGUCGUUAUCUUCUUAUCAGAGAUAUGAUAUCCAGAACUUACAUCAUCGAAUUUUAAAUUUCUAUAUGCAUAUGCUUACAAUUUUCUCCUGCCUUACGUAUCAUUUUACAUAUAUCUCAAGUCUUUUACUUUUACAGGGUCAAAUGCCAACUCUGGUGGAGUAUUUGCUGAUAUUAAUGAGCGUGUUUGGUGGUAGGGUAGUAGUGGUUGUUUUUUAAAUAGUUUUUCGUAUUGAAAUACAUAUUAAUGAUGUUUUUUCAUUUUUUAAAAAUUAUUUUUGACAUCAGCACAUUAAAACGAUCCAAAAAGUAUAAACCACAUUCAAUUUUAAUAAAAAAAAUAAUUAAAAUUUGAUUAAAUACAGGUUGAACUACAUAGCCAAACAGAUUGUACCGUGUGUGUUGUCAACACCUGUUUGGUAUCUUUUCUUUUUAAACAAAGAAUAGGGAAGCUUUUUUUCAUCAUUAAUCACAGGGUUAUAUUUAACCGUCAAGCUUACAACAGUUCUAUGGAAGGUAUGCUCUCAUUUAUGUAAUCUGCUAUAUUUCCAGUACCAUACUAAAACCAUAGUUUAUUGACAUCUUCUUGAUCACUUUCGCACCUGGGUUCAACUAUUCUUUACUGCAUGGCGGACCUUGCCACUUAAAGAAAUGUACUAUGGUUCUUAUGCCACAUCUGAACAGGUUUGAUCGAGAAAGGACGUGUCCAUUAUGCAGAGCAUUGAUCAAACCAGCAGAUAUCAAAUCAUACAGUGAUGGAUCAACCAGUUUGUUUUUCCAGAUAUUCUCAGAUAUGAUGCUUGCUCUUAAGCUAGAGCCACUUCCACCUUUCAAAGCCAUAGGCCUCCUCCUUUUCACAGAUACAGUGCACAUGUGUCAUCAGUAAAUAUUAGUGGACAUUUUUCUUUCUUUCUUUCUUUGUUUGUUUGUUUUUUUUUUCUUUCUUUUUGAAGCACUGCUGAGUGCUGACAGUUCACUCCACAUGAAUGUUGACAUCCUCCUAUUUAUUGCAAUCCAGAGGUUAGAUAGAUC
Populus nigra (black poplar) is the source of this 2798-nucleotide long non-coding RNA. RefSeq lists it as uncharacterized. The record is from RefSeq and is a predicted model, not a curated record. The transcript has 2 exons. Lineage: Eukaryota; Viridiplantae; Streptophyta; Magnoliopsida; Malpighiales; Salicaceae.